Saccostrea echinata is the source of this 305-nucleotide long non-coding RNA. RefSeq lists it as uncharacterized. Lineage: Eukaryota; Metazoa; Mollusca; Bivalvia; Ostreida; Ostreidae. The record is from RefSeq and is a predicted model, not a curated record. The transcript is spliced from 3 exons.
AAUGGAAACUGGAAAAAUUAUCUUUUUUGCGACGGCUACCUUACUGCAGAUCAUAACAGAGAUUUCCUCUGCAGCCAUUCCAAGUACUUGCAUCAAGCCAUCCGCCCUCAGCAUCCUGCAAAAUCCAUGCGAUGAUCACGUGGACAAAGUGAAACCUGCUGCAGAAAAUAGAACACUGAGUCUGAUUGGUCAGCAGGCAGGAGACUUAAGAGUCCAUAUAAAGAGUGUUCUCGAUAUUGUAAAAAAGGAGCGCUAUCACUCGCCUAACCCUGAUCUGACCAUUCUUUUUCCGGAGUCGGUGCAGG